AGUUCAUCUGAAGCACUCGCCCAGGGCUGCCUGUGACAUCACUGACUCCUGAGACACUGGAUGCCAAGACUGUAACCAUGGUGACUUCUCUCAACCUGCGUGUCCCUGAGAAGAUUCACUGAGAUGGCGCUAUUGUUAAAGCCACAAGGAAAAGCCUUCUCCAUACGUGUCUCUGCCAUCUCUUCAUGAUGAAUAAAAUAAUUGUCUAAAGUAGUUGGAAAGCAAAGGGGAGAUCUCACAAACUGGCAGAUUCCAAACUCCCUCCUUGAGUGCUGUACUCAGGGGCUGAAAUAUUUGUUCUCUAAGUGCCUAGAUUCCCCCCUACAAAACCAAGGAUGAAUACUACACCUCUCUCUAAUACUGUGUGGUGAAGGAAGUGAGAUUCUGGGAGGUCAUUUCACAGUGCCUACUGAAAUAAGUAAAACAAGAAAAGAAACCUGACCUUGUCUUCUAGAAUCGUUAGGCUAAAGUAAGUUGUUUCAGCCCAGUGGUGUGUCUCCACGCCAUUAGGAUUCUACAGGAGACAUUAUUUCAGAGGGAUAAAGCUGACUUUGAAAGAAAGGUGUUGAGCGUCACAAGGACCUGAGAAGAGAAGAUAGAUAGCCUGAACUGUUAUUUUAAGACGUUUGCUCUGUGCUCUGCUUUAAUGUGUUCUGAGUGUCAGUGUUCUCAGUGGAGAUGGGGCCUGGCACUUGUUACUGGAGAGAUAAGAAUUGGCUAGUCUCUUGUCGUCCCUGAGAACAGAACUACAACUCAAGGGACGUUUAGAACUCAUGCUUGGAAAAAUAGCAAUUCUCCCUCCUACCAAAAUGACCAUCCAUGAUAAAGAAGUUAGCGAUUGGACCAAAGCUAUCCUACCAACACUCCUGGUUCAUUAUUACUCAGCAAUAAAGAAAGCUAACUGCAAGCAUAGCCUUGUGGUAUUCCGGGAAGCAGGAAUCUAGAGUUGGAAGUGACGUGUCUGGUGCUGAUCAUUGAACUCCCUAAUGGCUCAGGUACGGAAGAGUUGCUUCUGGGAAGAUGAACAGAGAGAUUCGGGAUGGGGCUGUUCUCCUCACGGUUGUGGCUACUAAAUCAGCGCAUGCCUACUGAUCACUUAGUUUGGUUUUUAUCUUCAGGUGCUGUGUCUUAGACUGGUGUUCUGUGAAGAGAUUUUGCAGAUGUUGGUAGACAGGAAGCUCACCAAAUGGCAGACCUUUUGUGUCAGUCACCUCUCCUGGUUGUAUGGAAUUUCAGGACAUUUGCUGAAUUCUACCAGGCACGACUCACAGUGAUACACGAGGUGGGUCGAAGGGCCAAGUCCAGAAGGAUCUUCUUGAAUCAUGGAAAUGUCUACUUCACUGAUGUGACGGCUCGGUGGGAAUGAGGGCUGGUAAUAAAGCCCCAAUUCGUGUUUA
This is a non-coding RNA of Rattus norvegicus (Norway rat), 1397 nucleotides long. NCBI's taxonomy places the organism in Eukaryota, Metazoa, Chordata, Mammalia, Rodentia, Muridae. The record is from RefSeq and is a predicted model, not a curated record.